Long non-coding RNA from Peromyscus maniculatus bairdii (prairie deer mouse), 190 nucleotides. RefSeq lists it as uncharacterized. The record is from RefSeq and is a predicted model, not a curated record. NCBI's taxonomy places the organism in Eukaryota, Metazoa, Chordata, Mammalia, Rodentia, Cricetidae.
UCCCUUGUGUGUCUGUCUGUCAUUUUCCUCGCCGAUUCCAGACUUCUCCUCGAGCCUUCUCCCUGGUUCUCCCGCAGUGGUGGUCUCCCUCUGGGUGGUCUGCGGCAGGUGGCGCCCGAACAGGGACCUGAAGGACAGGAUGCCGACUCCCCGAUUUGGAUCCCGGAUCGCCUUAUCCGACCUGCAAAAG